AGUGAACGCUGGCGGUAGGCCUAACACAUGCAAGUCGAACGGACACACAGGAAGAUCUUGCUCUUACGGGUGGCGACUGGCGGACGGGUGAGGAAUACAUCGGCAUCUACUUUUUCGGGGGGGAUAACGGAGGGAAACUUACGCUAAUACAGCAUACGAUCUACGGGAGGAAGCAGUGGAGCUUGACACCUUUGCCGAUUGUAUGAGACGACGUCGGAUUAGCUAGUUGGGUGGGUAAAGGCCCACCAAGGCGACGAUGCGUAGCCGGUCUGAGAGGAUGAUCGGCCACACUGGAACUGAGACACGGUCCAGACUCCUACGGGAGGCAGCAGUGGGGAAUAUUGGACAAUGGGCGCAAGCCUGACCCAGCAAUACCGCGUGGGUGAAGAAGGCCUUCGGGUUGUAAAGCCCUUUUGUUGGGAAAGAAAAGCAGCAGGUUAAUACCCCGCUGUUCUGACGGUACCCAAAGAAUAAGCAACGGCUAACUUCGUG
This 492-nucleotide ribosomal RNA is filed under the name uncultured bacterium. RNAcentral's name for it is "partial 16S ribosomal RNA". It matches the Rfam family "Bacterial small subunit ribosomal RNA", at positions 29 to 507 of the family's 1533-position model. The record is from RNAcentral.